Molecule: ribosomal RNA, 429 nt
Filed under: Gemmatimonadota bacterium
Lineage: Bacteria; Pseudomonadati; Gemmatimonadota
Description: Gemmatimonadetes bacterium partial 16S ribosomal RNA
Rfam family: Bacterial small subunit ribosomal RNA
Source: RNAcentral
UAGGGAAUCUUCGGCAAUGGACGAAAGUCUGACCGAGCAACGCCGCGUGAGUGAAGAAGGUUUUCGGAUCGUAAAACUCUGUUGUUAGAGAAGAACAAGGACGUUAGUAACUGAACGUCCCCUGACGGUAUCUAACCAGAAAGCCACGGCUAACUACGUGCCAGCAGCCGCGGUAAUACGUAGGUGGCAAGCGUUGUCCGGAUUUAUUGGGCGUAAAGCGAGCGCAGGCGGGUUCUUAAGUCUGAUGUGAAAGCCCCCGGCUCAACCGGGGAGGGUCAUUGGAAACUGGGAGACUUGAGGGCAGAAGAGGAGAGUGGAAUUCCAUGUGUAGCGGUGAAAUGCGUAGAUAUAUGGAGGAACACCAGUGGCGAAGGCGGCUCUCUGGUCUGUAACUGACGCUGAGGCUCGAAAGCGUGGGGAGCAAACAGG